UCCCAGUUCGGAUUGUAGGCUGCAACUCGCCUACAUGAAGUCGGAGUUGCUAGUAAUCGCGGAUCAGAAUGCCGCGGUGAAUGCGUUCCCGGGUCUUGUACACACCGCCCGUCACACCAUGGAAGUUGGGGGCGCCCGAAGUUGGUCGAGGAAUAGAUUACCUAAGGCGAAACCAAUGACUGGGAUGAAGUCGUAACAAGGUAAC
Molecule: ribosomal RNA, 205 nt
Filed under: uncultured bacterium
Lineage: Bacteria
Description: partial 16S ribosomal RNA
Rfam family: Bacterial small subunit ribosomal RNA
Source: RNAcentral